Molecule: long non-coding RNA, 730 nt
Filed under: Coffea arabica (coffee)
Lineage: Eukaryota; Viridiplantae; Streptophyta; Magnoliopsida; Gentianales; Rubiaceae
Description: long non-coding RNA (CARA_LNC005849)
Source: RNAcentral
GAGUUCGGAACUGGCGGGAACGCUGAUCUGAGCAAGAUCGGUGCCUAUUACGAAGAAAUGAUCAAGUCAAACCCUUCCAACCCUCUUCUUCUGAGAAAUUACGGCAAAUUUUUGCAUGAGGUAUACUACGCCAUACCACUCUAUUUACAUCUAAUUGAACUCUGGAAUUUCUCAAUUAUUGUUCAAUUAAUCAAAUAUUUGAUUAGUUUGUAUUUUUGUGUACAGGUGGAGGGAGAUUUGGGCAGAGCAGAAGAGUAUUACGGGAGGGCAAUAUUGGCAAGUCCUGGAGAUGGAGAAGUGCUGUCCUUGUAUGGAAACUUGAUUUGGGAAAACGAAAGAGAUGAGAGCAGGGCAAAAUGUUACUUUGAUCAAGCGGUUCAAGCUGCGCCUGAUGAUUGUAUGGUGUUGGGUUCAUAUGCACAUUUCAUGUGGGAAGCAGAGGAUGAAGAUGAUGAUGAUGAUAACGACGGCGAUGUAGUGGCGGCUCCGGCAGCUGCCGCCGUGGUUGAAUCGUUUUAAGUUCUUAACAGAGCCAUCAGUAAGAUACCGCUCUGGAAGAGCCAGAAUUCUAACCUUGUGCCCGGACCUGAGACCAUUGAGAUACCGCUCUGGAAGAGUUAGAAUUCUAACCUUUGUGUCCGGACCCCUGAGACCUGAGACCUGAGUCUGCUGCUGUGUUUAUUAUGAUUAGUGUUUAAUUAUAUGUCUAAGGUAACGGUGAAAGGAGGCU